GCGGCAGUAGUUCUCCUAACCGCCCGUUACAUACAUCUCCGUCGAUCGAAGCCUUCAGCUUCGCCGUGCUGUCGAAAGUGGUGGUUUCGAUCGGAUCCCAGUAGGAAAAAUUGCCUUUCUCCGUCGGUUUCGAGGAGUUUGGACUUGUUGAGAGGUUUCGGAUGCUUCUUGGCAUGCAUCGGAGUCUGCAUUCGGUGAUUCUGCUGUGGUUUUCGUAGAUUGAUGAGCGAUGGAGCCUCCGCAGGGGUUUUGGGCGACUCUUUGGAGUUGCCUUCGGUUCUUGCCUUUCUUUCUAGGUUUACUGCUGCUGGGCAUCAUCAAAGGAAUCUCCAAGAUGCUUUUAUUGUGUUCAGAAUCGUUCUUUAAGUAUUACAUAGGCGUGCAAACAGGUUCCAAGAGAUGCAUGUGAUUCCUUAUGGAGGGAGUAAAACAUUUCACUAGAUUCAUAUGGCCACUGAUAGAAUCUUAAACUUGUUCAUAUUGCUACAAAAAAAUACCAUACUUUCCAGCAACAAAAGGAACUCCUUUUGGAGAAUUUGCUGGAAUGUCUCCUUGCAAGCCAGGGAUAAUCUCAAUCAUUUCUUUAACAAGUUUAGGAUUGAUGCUUUAUUUCUUUAACAAGUUUAGGAUUAAUGCUUUAUUUUAACAAGUUUGGGAUCUCUGCAAACCUGUAAAAGCUCAAAAGAAACUCUAUUUUAAAAGAAGAUUAAUGCUUUAAAUGAAAUUAUUUGAUAACAUCAUCCGUUUAUGUAUCUGUUGCUUGGAAUUAUAAAAUCAGAAUAAUGCAAAUACAGUUAUUACCGCAACACAUGGAGCAAACACAGGGAAUUCCUGUCGUUCUAACUUCAAGAGCAGUGGCAGCACCAAUUUUCUUCACAAGUGCUGGAUCCCUGGUCAAAGCAGAUUCAAUAUCAGUGACAAGAUUCUGAAGUCUUUCUGCAAUACCUAAAAGCACAGUUAUUUAUUGGAUCCAUUUUUGGGUGAGCAAUGGCAAAACAGAUGGAAGGCAAGUCGAUUGACCAUAUACAGCUAAUGUUGUCAUCGAAUGCUGACCUGAUGAGUCACCAACUAUUGUGAUGAUCGACACACACAUUCCACCUCAUCAUACUAUGACCCACAAGUUUGCCUCGAAGGCUCAUAAGCUUUAUCAACAACUGUUCUAAAGUGUUUUGGGUAAUUCAAAUGGAGAUGAUCUGAAGUUUAGCAAACAGGAAAGUUGCAUGUUUCCUUUCUUUUACUUCUCAUUAGAUACUUGGCAUCUGUCUUCUCCAAGCUUGGCUAAACCAUCACAAGGGUGCCCAUCAAUUUCCAUUGUUGUUCUCUUUCUUUUGGCAGGGACUCAAUUAUUGUUGCCCACAUCUCCUUCUCAGAGCAAUUGGACAGAACACUUACUCUACAACAAGAAUUAGACCGCCACAAGCAGAGAACAUUUCCUGGAAGUCAUAAUAACAAGUAUCAUGAUCCAAAAUGGCAAUCGAAUUCCUCUUCUUUCCCAAUGCUUUGGCACUGCAUGAUGUCAGGAGAGAAGAGUUCAUGUACGACCAGCAACCUUGUCUUGCACCGCACCCUUCAACAAAGACAAAGCAGAAAGCAAAUGGAACACGUUAUGCCAUCUUAAUUUGCAGGCUUCGAUGGUGAAAAGUAUUCUGGAAGAAUCGGAUGCCUCUGCAAGGCAGUAUGUUUCUCUGUUGAUUCUUUAUACUAUUUUUCCUUGUUUUUUCUAACAUCAUUGUCACGGGAAAAAAAUGGUUUAUCGAUCUUAAAUUUGUAUAGAUCUAUCUUGUGGACUUAGGUGAUCAUAUUAUAAACUUGGUAUUAGUAAAUAGAAUAGAAAGAUAUGUUAAAGAAUAUAA
Molecule: long non-coding RNA, 1853 nt
Organism: Musa acuminata AAA Group (dessert banana)
Lineage: Eukaryota; Viridiplantae; Streptophyta; Magnoliopsida; Zingiberales; Musaceae
Exons: 2
Source: RefSeq, a predicted model, not a curated record